Molecule: long non-coding RNA, 449 nt
Organism: Homo sapiens (human)
Lineage: Eukaryota; Metazoa; Chordata; Mammalia; Primates; Hominidae
Source: Ensembl
CCUGGCCUACAGUAUGCUUCAUAGAAAUAUGAAAAGAAUGAGAGCAAGGUUGAGAUAGAAAGUAACAGGGCAUCCCUCCUGAGUAAAACAAUCCUGCCCCCUCACGCUCUCGUCUACCCUCCCGUGGGUCUCCCUGCUUCUGUCGUCUGCCAGAAACUGGCUGAGCCAAGUGCACUUGCAGACGCCAUCUGUUCUCCCUGGGAGUGGGGCCGGUGCCAGCGCCAGCAUCUGGACUCUUGGCAAGGAGCCCUGGAGCCCUGGAGCGAGGGAACUCCGGCCCCACAAAGGCCAGGGAAUCCUCCAGUCUGGUGAGACGGAGGGCUUCUGGGAAGGGAGGCCUAUACAAGGCUCCAUGAAGGAGGUGGAAGCUUGCAAGACGAUGAUAGUCUUGUAAUCAGUCCGAUGGAGAUGGAUGUAAAUAAUAAUAUUAAUAAACACCAUCAAAUGUG